RNAcentral lists this unclassified non-coding RNA (329 nucleotides) under soil metagenome. RNAcentral describes it as "partial contains 5.8S ribosomal RNA, internal transcribed spacer 2, and large subunit ribosomal RNA". The stretch from base 1 to 120 matches the Rfam family "5.8S ribosomal RNA", at positions 35 to 154 of the family's 154-position model. The record is from RNAcentral.
GAUGAAGAACGUAGCGAAAUGCGAUACGUAAUGUGAAUUGCAGAUUUUAGUGAAUCAUCGAAUCUUUGAACGCACAUUGCGCCCGCCAGUAUUCUGGCGGGCAUGCCUGUUCGAGCGUCAUUUCAACCAUCAAGCCUUCGCUUGUGUUGGGGCCCCGCGGCUGCCGCGGCCCCCUAAAUCCAGUGGCGGGCUCGUCGUCGUACCGAGCGCAGUAGACAUCCUCGCUCCGGGAACCCGACGGGUGCCGGCCGUGAAACCCCCCCCAUCAAGGUUGACCUCGGAUCAGGUAGGAAUACCCGCUGAACUUAAGCAUAUCAAUAAGCGGAGGA